GUAGGAGGUAGCAGAAUGGAGCCAGCCCACCCCUUUCCAGACGUUUCUAGGCCCUCCUGCUCAAACCUCUUUUGUAGGCACCGGUGACCUGAUUCUGAGGUCCCCAGGAGAUGGAUCACCUGAUGACAUGAGAAUGUCUUGUUUUUGGAAAGCCUGGUCAUGCAAUUUAGCAGAAGGUUUGCGGUGAGGUGGAAGGCAUUUAUUUGCUUUGUCUUGCUAACCCUCAAAAUCAAAGCCUGUCCCAGCCUGACAGCUUCCAGCAGAAAGUGUCAGAACCAGAGGCCCAGCCAAGGCCCAGGCAGGGCAGGCGGUCCUGCUGGGCCCUGGCAUUGUUCUUACAAAUGGAGGGCAUGGCCGUCUUCUUUUUCAGGGACACGCUGGCCUGACAUGGAAGGUGAAACAGGGCAGCAGCCCCUGCCUCCAGGAGAACUCUGCAGACUGCAGUGCCAGGGAGCUGAGGGGUCCUGGGAAGGAGCUAUGGAAUCCUGUCCAGCAGGAUGGCUACAAAGAGAUCUUAUUUUAAAAGCAGCUGAUGGUUUGGAAAUGAGAGAACUACAG
This 558-nucleotide small RNA is filed under the name Pongo abelii (Sumatran orangutan). Its description in RNAcentral is "retained intron". The record is from RNAcentral. Lineage: Eukaryota; Metazoa; Chordata; Mammalia; Primates; Hominidae.